This 76-nucleotide transfer RNA is filed under the name Nostoc sp. NIES-2111. RNAcentral's name for it is "tRNA-Met". It matches the Rfam family "tRNA". Rfam says of the family: Transfer RNA (tRNA) molecules are approximately 80 nucleotides in length. Their secondary structure includes four short double-helical elements and three loops (D, anti-codon, and T loops). The record is from RNAcentral. Lineage: Bacteria; Bacillati; Cyanobacteriota; Cyanophyceae; Nostocales; Nostocaceae.
CGCGGAGAUUGAGCUAUGGUGCGCUCUGAGGUCUCAUAAGCCUUCACGUACCGGGUUCAAAUCCCGGCUCCGCUAC